UCGCGGCUUAUCACCGGCAGUCUCCCUAGAGUGCCCAACUGAAUGAUGGCAACUAGGGACGAGGGUUGCGCUCGUUGCGGGACUUAACCCAACAUCUCACGACACGAGCUGACGACAGCCAUGCAGCACCUGUCUCUCGGUUCCCGAAGGCACCCCCGCAUCUCUGCAGGGUUCCGAGGAUGUCAAGCCCUGGUAAGGUUCUUCGCGUCGCGUCGAAUUAAGCAACAUGCUCCGCCGCUUGUGCGGGCCCCCGUCAAUUCCUUUGAGUUUCAACCUUGCGGUCGUACUCCCCAGGCGGGGUACUUCCUGCGUUAGCGCCGGCACCCAGAGGGUCGCUCCCCCAGGCACCUAGUACCCAUCGUUUACGGCGUGGACUAC
RNAcentral lists this unclassified non-coding RNA (378 nucleotides) under uncultured bacterium. Its description in RNAcentral is "contains 16S-23S intergenic spacer region". The record is from RNAcentral.